UUUAUUUACUGUUUGUCUUCUGUGUGACAGCACUCUAUGAUGGUGUAAAGAAGCAGGUGGGCCGCAUGAUUGCUGUCUGUCUAGUACAUGGGGUUGUAGAGACACAUUUUUUCAGAGGCUAUACAGGCAAGUGUGUGGCCUACAAUCUCCUGUGCCAGAACUGAAAGAAAUUGCGGAAUAUGACUUCAGAGAGAAGUUGGAGAAGUACAAUAAACAUUCUAAGAUCCAGUUAGCACAAACUGUUGACGAGGCACAGGAAGCGGUCAUGUUGGGUCCAGUGCGAUACAUUCGUACAUUGGAGAGGGAUGCCCUGGUGGAGUCAGCCACAAAGUUCUACUUAGAAAGCAGGAUACGGGAUGCUCUUGAGCAGUGAGUUUCCAUAUAUCUAAGGUAUCUCAAGUUUAGUUAAAUUCUUCAGGGAAAAUAAAUUUACAUUUUUGACUUUAUAAAUUCAAAGAGGGUCUGGAGUGUCUAGGUCUCCUGCCUUCCAUGAAUAGACACUCAAGCCUCUUCAGAGAGGUUUCCAUCUAUGCUGAGAAAACUAUUUUUGCCACAGACAUAGCUUCUCUCUUCAAAGCAGAGUGCUCCCCACCUGGUACCAGUCAAAGAGCAAUGAGAGAAGAGUCAUGUUUCUGGAGGGACUGGCAUCUGGAGGUGGAAGGUUAGAUGCAAAACCAUGAUCAUUGAAGUAAUACAGCCCACAUCAGUAAAAUAUCACUUAUUCACUCUCACAACUGUGGGACAGCAGUUUAUAGCCUUAUUCUUCCAUAGGCCCCCUAAGAAUGUAAUAGAUCAAUUAAAUCCCAAACUACUUUCACUUAGAGUAUUGUGUUCUCCAAUAAGCAUUACUUAUGGACUUUAAUGUCACCCCCUUCAAUUUUUUCAGGGGAGAACACACCCUUUAACCAUGGAGAAGGUAUUAAUUUUCACUUUGGGGGCUUCAACAUUCCUAGGCUGGGAUUGCCAGUGGAGCCACAGCUACAGGCUACAGUUCUAUCUGCUACCACGCCAAGUCUAGGUCCAAGAGGCUUCUAAACAGAUUCUACCCCCAAGCCAUAAGACUCCUGAACAUCUAAUCAAAUGCCUACCCAGACUAUUUGCUGCUACUCUAUCUAUGCAUAGUCACGUUAGUAUCUCUACCUACAUGUUUAUAUUAACUAUUUUCUUUCUUUCUUUGUCGUUUAAAAAAAACUGCAUUGUUGGUUAAGGGCUUGUAAGUAAGAAUUUCACUGUAAGGUCUACCUACACCUGUUGUAUUUGGCGCAUGUGACAAAUACAAUUUGAUUUAAAGAUAAUUAAUUUAAGGGGAAAUAUCCAACAUGUUUAUCACAUGACUACCUAGUAAGUUGGGAAUACUGCAGCCAAUGUUAAUUGGUGAUGUGUCCUAUAAGAAUUGAUAUUAUGAAAGUUUCCGAAAGGAUUGUCCGUCAGCAAAAAAAAGUUGUGUAGUGAAAGUUUUCAAAAGCAUUACAACCAACCAGAAUCAAUUGAACCCAGUAAUACAUAAUGCAGCUUUAAUAUUUGAAAAAAUGUAUGAUUUCUUAGUAGAGUGGGUAAACUGAGCAUUAUGCAAAGUAGUUAAGGCAUGUAUGUCAAGGGACUAUGUUACAAGAGAUCAUACGUUUCCUAUGUGCAAUGUUACCAUAAAUAAAUCUUACAGUAAAUAUGGACCACAUUUCAUUUACAUGUGUUAUGGCAAUAAAAACCGUAGUUGGUACAUAGGUCAUGGUGCAGCAAGUUUGAGGGUAGUGGAGAAGCACAAGUGGGACUUUUUGAGUAAAGUAACUGAGGGCAGAAAAGGAUAUCAGGGUGCCCAGGAACUUGAAGCUGCUGAUAAUCUCCAUGUACAGUAGAUGGGAGAAUGGUCAAGUAUCACCAUCGACUUUUUUUUGCUUACGCUGAGACUGUUGUCCUAUCACCAUUAUGUCAGGUCCCACAGCUCCUUCAUGUACUCAUGAUCACUGGUGAUCAGGUGUGCCAUGGUAGUGUCGUGUCCAUUCUGGGGAUACACAUUCUUGUGAUAAUGUAA
Oncorhynchus mykiss (rainbow trout) is the source of this 2029-nucleotide non-coding RNA. The record is from RefSeq and is a predicted model, not a curated record. NCBI's taxonomy places the organism in Eukaryota, Metazoa, Chordata, Actinopteri, Salmoniformes, Salmonidae.